RNAcentral lists this ribosomal RNA (253 nucleotides) under uncultured bacterium. RNAcentral's name for it is "partial 16S ribosomal RNA". It matches the Rfam family "Bacterial small subunit ribosomal RNA", at positions 524 to 776 of the family's 1533-position model. The record is from RNAcentral.
UACAGAGGGGGCAAGCGUUGUUCGGAAUUACUGGGCGUAAAGGGCGCGUAGGCGGCCUUAUAAGUCGAACGUGAAAUCCCCGGGCUCAACCCGGGAACUGCGUCCGAUACUGGAAGGCUUGAAUCCGGGAGAGGGAUGCGGAAUUCCAGGUGUAGCGGUGAAAUGCGUAGAUAUCUGGAGGAACACCGGUGGCGAAGGCGGCAUCCUGGACCGGUAUUGACGCUGAGGCGCGAAAGCCAGGGGAGCAAACGGG